Non-coding RNA from Phoenix dactylifera (date palm), 931 nucleotides. The record is from RefSeq and is a predicted model, not a curated record. NCBI's taxonomy places the organism in Eukaryota, Viridiplantae, Streptophyta, Magnoliopsida, Arecales, Arecaceae.
UGGGGGGUCAAAACCUUGGCUCACAAUUGGGAUUGUGGUUUGGCCGCGCGACUUUUGUCUCCCCUCCCACGACCCAUCGCCAGCCAGCGCGAGCUCUUCCUCUGCGGACGACGGACCGUGACGGCGGAAUACGGUCAGCGGCACUAGGGCCUUCAAAUAUUUGGUAUCCUCAUCGGUGGAAUAAGUCAGGUGUAGAACAGAAAGGAAAGUGGGGAAGAUGGCAGAGCUGCUGAGCAUAGGCAUCCUGAUAGACAUUGUGGAUGAGGAAUGGAUGAGAGACACCCUCCCUAAGGAUGAUAUUCCUCUACCGGCUGGAAUGGCUCCCAGAACUGAAGAUGCUGAAGAACCAAAUCAGGAAAACCAACAAGUGGAGGGGGAUGUUUGGCAUGAUCUUGCCCUGGAGAAUCUCUAAGGCUUCAAUGCUGUGGAAGCUGGUCAAUGUGAAGACAUGUGGUAUCAACCAGUCAAUGUCUCAGGCACGCAAUGCUGGUGGUGAUCUUGAGUCUAUUCUGUUGUUGGCUCAUCUUUGAAUUGCCUGACGAUGGAAUCUUCAAAGGAUGCAGAUACUUCAACAGCUCAUGCCUGCGCCAUGGUUGUGUGUUUCUACUGCAUAAAUUCUUUUUCAAGAAGUUAGACAGUUGUGUCGGGAACAAGGCUGGGUUACGGGUGAAUCUGAAGUCUGUCAGUAUCCAUUUGAGCAUUGCUUAACCUCUUCCAAAGAGGGCUAAAACUUAUUUUGUUUAGGUAUUUUUAAGGUCAGCUUGGAUGAUAUCAAUUUGUUUGGUUGAACUUUGAUCACGAGUUAUUGUUAUUAUUAUUGCUUGGUAUGACCUCCAAUAAAACAGAGGUAGGUUGAUAUUCAUAUAAGCUAUGCUAACAUGCUGGUGAGAACAGAAUCUUGAAAGGUUAGUGAUAUGCAGUUGUGACCGCA